AAUUUUUUGGCCUUUAAAACUUCUCGAUCGGUUCCGACUGGAUUGGGUUUUCAAUUUCGUGAGAGUGGAUUUGUUAGCUCCAGUUUGAACCAGAGCCUUUGCAUGGAACCAGAGCCUUUCCAUGCUCGAGCUCCACAGGGUAUGUCAGAAUAAUGAAGGACCUAAGAGAGCUUUAUUUGGAAGUAGAAGUCAAGGUUGAUCCUGUUGUUUCAUUUUGUUUGUAGAAGUCAAUCAAAUGCUUUGCUGAAACAUCCAAUAAGAAGAAUAAAAUAACUCUGAUUGCAGAGCCAUUGGAGAGAGGACUUGCGGAGGACAUUGAGAAUGUAUAUAAGCUACAGUGUUCGUUUCUGCAAUGCAGUUCGAUUUUGCCUCUUCUGGACUCUUCUACUUCAUUUUUGUCUCUCUGGGAAGGGAAAGGUCUGGAUGUACUCCUGUUCUCCUCUCUCUCUCUCCGUCUGUGUUUGCGCAUGGCUAUCAGGUUUUCUUGGACGACAGCAGAUACCUGCAGCGAAAGAAAUCUCACCCUGCGGCACCGCCUCUCACGGAACCACCGCCGCCACCAUCUUUCGGCUCGAAUUUUGUGGGUUCUGAAGAGCAGCAGCGACAUGCAAAUAUGUGCCUGAUCUUCCACUGGAGCAUCCAAAUUUUACAGUUGUGUAUCAAAUGACAGCAACCUUUACAAAUUCAAAAUUUGAAGCCAAGAUACCACCGUCCAUAUACUUGCAACCCAAAUAUUGUUAAAAACGAAGAAACAAUGUAAAAAUCCAAAUUUUACAUUUGGUUAUAGCUUUUGUGUAAACGGAGCUUCCACUGAGCUCUUAGUUCUGGAGAGUGCUCUGUGGAAACAGCAAUGCAAGGGCAGGAUCUGAUCGGUAGCACUCAAACAGGGGAUCUUAGGGCUGUGCAAAAUGGUGUACAAAAUUGCACGAGUUGGAAUUGUGAAACCAAGUCAACUCUCACUUAGAAGGGUUAACGAUUCACAAGCAUGAAAAUUCAAGCUCGGGCGGUACCCCCAUUUCAAGGCAAAUGAGACCAUUCGACGAUGCGCAAAGGCUUUGGGCGGAAUUGCUCCUAUAUUCGUCAUUGGAUGAAGAAUGGCGGAAGGAAGAAAGGGCUACAUAACUCCUUGGUCGCUCUUCUUCUUCUUCUUCUUCUUCCUGGAUAUUGGAUGAUGAGCCCCAAAUCAUCCACCGCACCCUAAAACCCUAGUAAAGGGCUAAGGAAAAGUUGGAUUUUGAAUUUGGAAUCGGCCAUCCCCAAAAUCAUAUCCACCCAAAACCCUAAAAAAAACCCCUUUCCUUUUCCUUGAAAGUGGCAGAUUCAGCUGAUUCUCACAAGAUUACAGGUGCAAGCGUGAUAGAAUAUGAGAUUGCUUGUGCCCAAUCUGAAGGUAACCACUACGCUUUCGACACACCGAGACAAGUAACUGUCUUCUUUGAAGACGGAAAAGCAGUGGAGUCUACCUUGGU
RNAcentral lists this small RNA (1469 nucleotides) under Malus domestica (apple). RNAcentral describes it as "sRNA MD14G0166700". Lineage: Eukaryota; Viridiplantae; Streptophyta; Magnoliopsida; Rosales; Rosaceae. The record is from RNAcentral.